RNAcentral lists this ribosomal RNA (465 nucleotides) under uncultured bacterium. RNAcentral's name for it is "partial 16S ribosomal RNA". It matches the Rfam family "Bacterial small subunit ribosomal RNA", at positions 28 to 507 of the family's 1533-position model. The record is from RNAcentral.
GACGAACGCUGGCGGCGUGCUUAACACAUGCAAGUCGAACGGAAAGGCCCUGCUUGCAGGGUCCUCGAGUGGCGAACGGGUGAGUAACACGUGGGUGAUCUGCCCUGCACUUCGGGAUAAGCCUGGGAAACUGGGUCUAAUACCGGAUAGGAGCCAUUUUUAGUGUGAUGGUUGGAAAGUUUUUUCGGUGUAGGAUGAGCUCGCGGCCUAUCAGCUUGUUGGUGGGGUAAUGGCCUACCAAGGCGGCGACGGGUAGCCGGCCUGAGAGGGUGGACGGCCACAUUGGGACUGAGAUACGGCCCAGACGCCUACGGGAGGCAGCAGGGGGGAAUAUUGCACAAGGGGCGCAAGCCUGAUGCAGCGACGCCGCGUGGGGGAGGACGGCCUUCGGGUUGUAAACUCCUUUCGCUAGGGACGAAGCUUUUUGUGACGGUACCUAGAGAAGAAGCACCGGCUAACUACGUG